GUGUCCUACGGGGCGCAGCAGUGGGAAAUAUUGGGCAAUGGGCGCAAGCCUGACCCAGCAACGCCGCGUGAAGGAAGAAGGCUUUCGGGUUGUAAACUUCUUUUCUCAGGGACGAAGCAAGUGACGGUACCUGAGGAAUAAGCCACGGCUAACUACGUGCCAGCAGCCGCGGUAAUACGUAGGUGGCAAGCGUUAUCCGGAUUUACUGGGUGUAAAGGGCGUGUAGGCGGGACUGCAGGUCAGAUGUGGAAACCACGGGCUCAACCUGCGGCCUGCAUUU
This 280-nucleotide ribosomal RNA is filed under the name uncultured bacterium. RNAcentral describes it as "partial 16S ribosomal RNA". It matches the Rfam family "Bacterial small subunit ribosomal RNA", at positions 334 to 628 of the family's 1533-position model. The record is from RNAcentral.